RNAcentral lists this long non-coding RNA (235 nucleotides) under Homo sapiens (human). RNAcentral describes it as "long non-coding RNA NONHSAT181202". Lineage: Eukaryota; Metazoa; Chordata; Mammalia; Primates; Hominidae. The record is from RNAcentral.
AGGAUGGCAAUCCCAGGUCUGGAUUAAUGCCUGUGUCUGCUGAAAAACAGUGGGACAGACAGUGCUGGUCCAUGGCUGCCUUCAAAAUGCUACUAAAUUUCUGUCUGCCAUAAAGUGGAGAGAAAAAGAGUGCAAAACUAAAACGGGAAGGUAAUAGUUACAUUUGCCAACUUAAAAUACAUUAGUCUUAGUCUUGACAUCAUCAAAAUGAGGUGAGAGAGGAUAAGGCUCAGAU